This is a non-coding RNA of Oryza sativa Japonica Group (Japanese rice), 4425 nucleotides long. The record is from RefSeq and is a predicted model, not a curated record. Lineage: Eukaryota; Viridiplantae; Streptophyta; Magnoliopsida; Poales; Poaceae.
CAUGUUUCUUUCUCAAUUUCCUGGGUUCACUUCUCCUUAUCCAGAAGCAGUUGUGAUACCGAUUGAGAAACACGCUCAUCUCCUACGUGUAGGCCUGUGCGCUCCCUUCCAAUCUUCAUCCAAUCUAGUCUCGUUCCCCAGCACUCCGUCGUUGACGAGAGCCACCAAAACAGGCCCGAGCCCCUGCAGCGCUGGCCACCGGUCGCCUCCACGCCGGUGCAGACGUGCCCUAGCCGCCCCGGUGGCCUAUCCCUAGGAAUCCAGGUCCAGUUCCGACUCGCGCGGUGUGGCUAGCAUCCUCCGUGCGUCCCCGUUACAUGUCCCUUGUGCGUGCCACACAUCAGCAACAGCGACCUCACCAUCACAUUUUCACUUGGUGUUGGUGGAUCUGUGCUUGGUGAUCAAGACGGUCAAGACCCUAAGGCAGUCAAGUGCAUAUGACGGCAGCAAUGUCUGAUCCACUCAUGUACUGCUUUGCUAUUUUUCUGAUCUAGCCAGUAGAUAAGAUGGUCGUUUUCGUUUGGUUCAAUUAAACAAGCAUCAGGGCUGCAUCGACGCUGUAUCUACUGGAUCCUAAUCCUAAGCUUCCAGAAAAUUGAUGGAUUUGAAUAAUAUUAAGAAGUUAUUGCUUUUCCCUAGACCAAGUGAUGAGUACCUUGCUGGAAUAGAUGGUUUUCUUCUGUUUGCAUAUAGGGAAAAGAGUCUUGAAGAUAAGAUCCGAUGUCCAUGUAAGGAGUGUGUCAACAAGUGGUUAUUAACGCGGGAUGAAGUGUAUGAUCAUUUAGUAUGUCAUGGAAUGUUACUUGGGUAUAGUCCAUGGGGUUGUCAUGGUGAAACCACAUCAUUCAUCUCUGCCAACAGUAGGGGAACAGAGUCACAAAGUAGAGGAAUGGAUGGUAACAUGCGCCAACUAGUGCAAGAUGCUUUUGGGAACACAAACAAUGACCCUCCAGUGAAUGAAUAUGAUGUACAAAAUUUUUUAAACAGUGGGCCAGACCAUGAAACAAAAGCAUUCUAUGACUUGCUCCGAGAUGCUCAUGACCCUUUGUGGGAAGGGUGUGAACUUACAAGGCUGUCAUUUCUAGUUCUCUUGUUUCACAUAAAAUCAGUUAACAAGUGGAGUAAUAAAUCAUUAAAUGAUUUGCUAGCAAUCUUGCAACAAGCAAUUCCAAAUGGUAAGAAUUUACCUGGAACAUUUGCUGAAGCUAAGAAGAUAAUAGGAAAGCUUGGACUUAAUUAUGUCAAAAUUCAUGUUUGUCCAAAUAACUGCCAGCUUUAUAGGAAAGCUAAGGCAAACGAUGACUUUUGUUCAAAAUGUGGUACUUCAAGGUGGAAAAACAAAGAAGAUAAAACUACUUUAACAAAGAAGGAAAGGAGAAGGGCAACCCCAAGGAAAGUGUUAAGGUACUUCCCAAUUAAGCCAAGGCUUAAGAGGUUAUUUAUGCACAAGGAAACAGCUAUAGCAUUAAGAUGGCAUGAUGAGGGUCGUACAAAGGAUGGUGUGUUGCGUCAUCCAGCUGACUCAGAGGCUUGGAAGUCCAUUGACUCUAGGAAUCCCCAGUUUGCAUCGGAUUCUCGAAACAUUAGGUUUGCAAUGGCUAGUGAUGGAUUUAAUCCUUUUGGGACAUUGAGUUCAACUUAUAGUUGUUGGCCAGUUGUCUUGAUUCCAUAUAACCUUCCUCCAUGGUUAUGCAUGAAAGCAUCUUCUAUUAUGCUUGCACUAAUAAUUCCUGGUCCAUCUUACCCUGGAAAGGAUUUUCAUUUAUUUAUGGAACCAGUUUAUGAAGAGUUAUUUGAUUUAUUUGAGGUUGGAACUCCUACAUAUGAUGCAUCUCAAAACGAGAUGUUUCAGCUUCGUGCUACAGUACUGUUCACUAUUAGUGACUAUCCUGGGAUUGGGAUCUUUGCGGGAUAUAGUGUCAAUGGUGAAUUUGCUUGUAUUAUGUGUCAUGAAGAAACGUGCUCUAAACGUUUGAAACAUGGACACAAGUAUUGUUUCAUGGGACAUCGUCGAUUUCUUCCUCUGGACCAUGAAUUACGAUAUAAUGAAAAUUCUUUUGAUGGAACUGAAGAACAUAGAGUAGAACCUCUUGCUUAUUCUGAAACAUCAGUUUUACAAAAGAUAGAGAAAAUUAAUGAUUUUGAGAAGUCAAAAACAUGGAAAUGCCGUAGUGGCUUAUUUUCGUUGCCUUACUGGGACUUGAAUGUACUCCAUCAUAAUCUUGAUGUAAUGCAUAUUGAGAAGAAUGUUUGUGAUAACAUAUAUGGGACAUUGUUAGGACUGGAAGGCAAAUCAAAGGAUAAUUUACAAGCACGCUUGGACCUACAAGAAAUGAAUAUAAGGCCAGAUUUGCAUCCCAUAAGAAAAGCUAAUAAUAAGUAUUAUUUGCCUCCUGCUUUCUAUACAAUGUCUAAACGGGAGAAACAUCAAUUUUGCAAAGUUCUCCAUGAUAUUAAGGUUCCAGAUGGCUAUGCAGGAAACAUCUCAAAAUGUAUAAAUGUUAGUCAAGGGAAAAUUUCAGGUCUUAAAAGUCAUGACUGUCAUAUUCUAAUGCAAGAACUUCUCCCAGUUGCUUUGCGGGGUGUGCUUCCUUACAAUGUCACUUCUGUCUUAUUUGAUCUAUGUGGAUAUUUUAGAGAACUGAGUUCAAAAGUCCUGUACAUUGAUGUGCUUGACAAGUUAGAGGAACAAAUUAAAAUGACAUUAUGUCGUUUGGAGAUGAUAUUUCCACCAGUUUUUUUUACCAUUAUGGUGCACUUGGUUGUUCAUUUAGCCACUGAAGCAAAAUUAGGAGGUCCUGUGUGUUACCGAUGUAUGUAUUUUGUGGAAAGGUAUUUGAGUGUAUUAAAGUCAUAUGUGCGUAAUAAGGCACAUCCUGAAGGAUGUAUUGCAGAAGCAUAUUUGGCAGAUGAGUGUAUGACAUUUUGUUCAAGAUAUCUUGAAGGUUUUGAGACAAAGCAUAACCAGCCUACACGAAAUGAUGAUAAUGAUGAGUCAGUUGCAUGUUCAGAUGAUGAAUGCACACCAUAUCUUUUUCCUCAUGUUGGAAAACCACUUGGCAAGCCGAGAAGUUAUGUUAUUAGGGGCUUGACUAAAAUGCAAGCACAUAGAUAUGUGCUCUUCAACUGUCCAGAUGUCAACCCAUACCUUCGAACUCAUGUUGAUGAGAUUAGAAGAACAUAUCGGCAAGGCCGCAUCACCCCAAAGAUUAUCGAGCGUAUCCAAAAUGAAAAAUUCCAUGAAUGGUUCAGAGCUCAUAUAAUGGAUCUAGAGAGGAAAAAUGGCAUAUGCAGUGUCAAGAAUGAUCAUAGAUGGCUGGCUCGUGGUCCGAUUGGUCCAGCAAAAAGAUAUCGUGCUUUCAAUACCCGUGGCUUCCGGUUUAGGCCUAAACAUUUGGAUGGAGUGACACAGAAUAGCGGAGUUGUCCUAAGUGCAAAAACAUCCAGUUAUACUAAAUCAAGUGACACAAAUCCAAUAUUGGGUGAUCUAACAUACUAUGGUAGAGUCAUCGAUAUUAUUGAGCUAAAUUACUCUGGACAAUUUUCAGUAGUACUGUUUAAAUGUGAAUGGGUUGAUGUUGUUUCUGGAAAAGGAGUUAAAAAAGAUAAGUAUGGUUACACACUAGUUAACUUCUCACAUCUCAUACAUACUGGAGAAAAAGUUGAGCAUGAGCCUUUUAUUUUCCCCAAUCAAGCAGAUCAAGUUUAUUAUGUCGAUGAUCCAAUGAAUCCUGGGUGGUCUGUGGUAAGGAAGAACAAACCUAGAGAUAUAUAUGACAUUGGUGAGGAUGAAUGGGCAGGUGACAUAGAAAUUGAGCCAUUCCAUGUUUCACACCUUGGUGGAAUGUCCAGUAAUGCAAACAAUUACAAGCAAUGGGUUAGAACAGAUGUUGAAGGAACAACAGUAGAUGUUGAUAAUAAUGCUUUGAAUAAUGAAGGAUAACAGAGGAAAAUAGUUACUCUUUCAUGAUUUAUUUCAUUACUUCAAGUUUCAGGUCCAUUAUUUUGAUGCAGACGCAGUUACAUUGGCAAGGUGGCAUCAGGGUGUUACUGUUUCUUUCGGCAAGCGAAAGUGAACAAGCAGCUGUCACUAACCAACAUAUGGCAGUUCUAGUCCAAGCAAACAUGAGUUUAGGCCAGUCUUCAGUAGUCAAUAAUAAUUCCCAAUGUAGUCUAUAUGUAUAGAUUAUUUUAAAUUUGUUCGUGUGAGCUUUUCCUUUUCUACUGCUAUAUUGAUUAGUCCUGUAAUCAUGUCUGGGUUAUGUGAUCUCUCUAGCAUCUUGUUUUUUACCAUAUUACUGAAAUGAUUAUUCUUUCAUAUUGCCGAAAUGAUUAUUCUUCCAUUUUUUUUUCUAAGUUCAUGAUGUAAGACAAAAAGAUUCUGUGCAAAUACCUCAGCUACAUUGUAGCAAUUUUGUGAUUAAA